This 416-nucleotide long non-coding RNA is filed under the name Physcomitrium patens. RNAcentral's name for it is "long non-coding RNA (PPAT_LNC009343)". The record is from RNAcentral. Lineage: Eukaryota; Viridiplantae; Streptophyta; Bryopsida; Funariales; Funariaceae.
AUCUUCUGGUAAUGGUCCGGCAAUAGGCUUUAUCUUCUUAUCUGCCGUUUUAUAUCUCGUCUCUACAGUGACUUCUGGUGCUUGAAAAGAUUCAAGUAUGGUAUAAACCUCUCUUGAAUGCAUCUCAACAAUCUUAUCAUUAUCCCCUAACCCAAUAGAUGUAAUCAAUUCCAAUGAAUCUUCCAGUCCAUUUUCUUCAUAAAUACCUAAAAUCCUCUCAUCAUCUUGCAAUGUACCUAACUUGCGUAAUUUUCCUUCAAUAUUAUAUAAUCUUUUUCUUUCUUUUCUUUUAAAAUCAUCAACUUUCUUAUACAUAAUAUUUCCAUUCUCCAAUAUACCAAUAAAACUCGCAUCAAAGGCACCUUCAUCUCGCGAGAGUACCUCCUCUUUUGUACCUCCAUAAUCUCGCUUUACAG